AUGAAAAAUUACACACAUCUUUGACCAGAAAUAAAUGAAAAAUCACACACGUCUUUGACUACAGAUAAAUGAAAAUUCACACACGUCUUUGACUAGAGAUAAAUGAAAAUUUACACACGUCUUUAAUUAGAGAUAAAUGAAAAAUCACACACGUCUUUGACUAGAGAUAAAUAUAAACUUACACGCGUCAAACAGGAUCACCAACCACGACAAAAUGACUUCUUUCUAUGAUUUAAAUCUUUUCAAAACUAAAUUACAAUAGGAAACAGAAACAAGAUUAUUAUGAUUUCUUUCCCAAAGAAAUUAACUCUAAUAAUUCAAAAUAAAUCUUACCAAAGUAGAAUUUCCUGAAUACAAAAUAGAGAUUUUAGUGGAGAAAACCCUUUUAAGUAUCGGCAGAUCAAUUUUAAACCCUUCAAAUAAAUUAUAUAUAUUAAAGUUGGCCAAUUCUCUCCCACAACUUGACACAUCAGCACAUGAGAGCUUGCCACCUAUACUUCAUAAAAUAAAUAAUACAUAAUUAGUAAUUAAUUCAACAUAAUAACUAAAAUAGGAAGAUAUAAUUAAUCAGAACUUGAACCAUCACUCUUUCUACAUUUUUUUAAUUCAAUAUAUCCUCUUUAAUUUUGAGAUCCAAAUAUGUUACACAUAUUCCUUGCCUAAAAAUUAGACGAUUAUUAUGAAAGAAACUAAAUGAAUAUGCAGAUUAAAUAUAUUUAAACUUUUCGAGAUUUAUGCUAAGAAAACAAGUAAUUUGAAAGAUGGUUGAUGAGCUAUCCUUAUAACUAAUACGUAAGAUAUAAGAUUAUGACAAGAACUUAACCAAACUUUACAAUAACAUCAAGUUGAAUAUGAUUAGAUUGGAUAUGCAGAGACAUGAUUAAUAAAGACAUGUUAUAUUUUUAAUGUAAAAAACAAAUUUUCUAAAAUUUCACCGUCUCACAAACUAAAUAUAUAACCAAAAGAACAAAGAUAUAUAAAUUAAAAAAAAAACUGAGAAUCUAAAACAACAAUAAAAAACAACUCAAGCACUUUCGUUUUCAGAUGAACUAAUAUAGUUGGACUUUUUGAAAACAAUUACAAAUCAUAUUUAUGUUUCAAAAUCGAUGCAUUCAACUUUACUUUAUAUGAACAGACAUUAUAUAAAACAAUUUGUAAAUAGUAAUACAUAAACCCGCACGUAGUGCGGGUAUUCAUCUAGUUAUUAAUGAAACAAACUACCCCUCAAGUAAGGAAUCUUAACAACAACAUCCCCAACUAAAUAAUCAAUGAAAACACCCUCAAAUAAU
Molecule: small RNA, 1289 nt
Filed under: Arabidopsis thaliana (thale cress)
Lineage: Eukaryota; Viridiplantae; Streptophyta; Magnoliopsida; Brassicales; Brassicaceae
Description: ATSL147370
Source: RNAcentral